GAUGAACACUGGCGGCGUGCUUAACACAUGCAAGUCGAACGGAAAGGCCCAAGCUUGCUUGGGUACUCGAGUGGCGAACGGGUGAGUAACACGUGGGUGAUCUGCCCUGCACUUCGGGAUAAGCCUGGGAAACUGGGUCUAAUACCGGAUAGGACCACUUCUUGGAUGUUGUGGUGGAAAGUUUUUUCGGUGUGGGAUGAGCUCGCGGCCUAUCAGCUUGUUGGUGGGGUAAUGGCCUACCAAGGCGUCGACGGGUAGCCGGCCUGAGAGGGUGUACGGCCACAUUGGGACUGAGAUACGGCCCAGACUCCUACGGGAGGCAGCAGUGGGGAAUAUUGCACAAUGGGCGCAAGCCUGAUGCAGCGACGCCGCGUGGGGGAUGACGGCCUUCGGGUUGUAAACUCCUUUCGCUAGGGACGAAGCGUUUUGUGACGGUACCUGGAGAAGAAGCACCGGCUAACUACGUG
Molecule: ribosomal RNA, 467 nt
Filed under: uncultured bacterium
Lineage: Bacteria
Description: partial 16S ribosomal RNA
Rfam family: Bacterial small subunit ribosomal RNA
Source: RNAcentral